CUCUGCAGGGACCCCUGGGCAUAGGUGUUUUGGCUCUGUUGGUCUCCUUGUGGAGUUCCUGUCCCCUCCAGGUCUUUCUAUCUCCAUCUUCUUCCAUCAGGAUUCCUUCCGGUAUCCUGCCCAAAGUUUGGCUCCGAGUCUCAGUAUCUCUGUCAAUACCCUGCACUAAAUAUCAUCACACGUCUGGACACACUACAGUGUAUUAAUCCAUUCAUCUACUAAAGGACAUCGGGAUUGCUUCCAGGAUGUUGGACUGUCUGCCAACAAUGAAUGGAGCUACUGCACACACACCCAUGCAGACUUUUGAGUGAACACAGCUUCCAACUCCUUUGGAAAUUGCACUGGGCUGAAUUUAUGGCGACCUGGCUUCUGAAAAAAGGAAGUGGAUACACAGCUCACUGUCUCUCUGAUAAAAAGAAGCUACGGAUCCUGAAAGAGCAAGGUACAAUGCCUACUGGAGACUGUGGAAACUAAAUACUAUCAGGAAAGCACAAUUGGGAGAAGAGCCUCACGGCUCGAGAACACGCCAGGGGACCUCAAGCUGCUGUCGUCCUUCAACCUGCAGCCAACUGGAAACAAUGGAUCUCUAAACUGCCAACGGAUUGAAGCAUUCUCUCACUUUUGGAGUAAAAAAUUAAAAUUUAAUUCCUUGACAAAAUGGGAAUUUGUUUGUCAGUGCCACUAAGUGUUUUAGCUGAGCACUAAAUAGUAACUGAUUAAAACUCUCCCUGAAGGAAUGCGUUAGCCUCCCUCCCUGUCUAUUUCUAGUGUGCUGCAGAUAAUUUGUGAUACACAGAUGCCUUUCCAUAUUUAAAUAUCUGAGAAAGUGUGUGAAAAAAUAAAGCCACAUGUUUACAGGGUGGGAGGAGCCUAUUUGGGGAGCAGCAAGUCACCACUAAGCCUGGCAGGAGCAUAAUGAAUUCCCAGACCCAUAUCCUUCCCAGCUGGCUAACUACCAGAAGGGACUAAGAUGUUCUUAGGAACUCCAGCAGCUACUUGC
This is a long non-coding RNA of Meriones unguiculatus (Mongolian gerbil), 1000 nucleotides long. RefSeq lists it as uncharacterized. The transcript is spliced from 4 exons. Lineage: Eukaryota; Metazoa; Chordata; Mammalia; Rodentia; Muridae. The record is from RefSeq and is a predicted model, not a curated record.